AAUCAAAGCUACUGCUCAUGUUUGCAUUGAGCUAAGAUUGCAGGCGCGUGAACUGUUCACACCACCAAAAAUGGCUAGGACUGAAGCAAGCCACCCACCUCAACCUCCCAAAGUGUUGGCAUCACAGGCAUGAUCCACCACACUCAGCCUUGAAACCAGAUUUAAAUAUCUCAGCCCAGACAGUGUCUUAACAGAAACAGAACAGCUGAGGCAAAAAAAGAAGAUUCUCUUAGCCCAAAGUCAGUGCCCUCAUCCAAACUACUUAGUUGUGAUCACCAGUACCGUGUAUCUUUAGCCAAAUCUGAAUUAAUCUGUUCAGAAUGAACAAGCAGAAUAGUCUUUGGAUUUGAUCCAAAUCCCUGAAGCACUUUGGGAAUGAGAAUGGCUAUGCCAGACAGAGAGACCCUGGCGACUUAUGAUACUGCAGAACACAACAGGCACUUCAGAUUGGUCCCAGUUAAGUUGAGGGAGAGCAGUGAUAUUGAGCAGUCAGCUAAAGAAACAAAGCUGUAGAGGCAAGAUUCCUUUUGUACUGGCUUGUGUAGGCAAAAGAAAGCAGUAUAGAGAUUUAUUCUCCCACUGGCAUGAAAGCUGUGAUUCUGACCACCUUCUACAUCACUGUCUACCACCCCUACACCAGCUCUUAGAAGACAGAGUAACUGCAGGAUGCUGUGGUACCUGGAGUGAUGCCAGACUGCAGAGGCCACCUGGUGACAUGAGGAGAGAUUCAACUUAACAUGGUGAGGAUGGCAGAGUAGAGCUAAAGUGGAAAAAGCAUUUCCCUGAUGAAUUUAAGAAGCUACUGAAUAAAUAUGUCUGGAAGUACCUAA
Long non-coding RNA from Pan troglodytes (chimpanzee), 830 nucleotides. RefSeq lists it as uncharacterized. The transcript has 6 exons. Lineage: Eukaryota; Metazoa; Chordata; Mammalia; Primates; Hominidae. The record is from RefSeq and is a predicted model, not a curated record.